UUUGGCUUAACUCAGUGGUAGAGUAUUGUACUUAUGGGAAGCUUUACCUGCGCUUCAGGCAUGAAAUGCAGUGGUCGCCAGUUCGACCCUGGCAGGGGGAA
Molecule: transfer RNA, 101 nt
Filed under: Tulasnella sp. 417
Lineage: Eukaryota; Fungi; Basidiomycota; Agaricomycetes; Cantharellales; Tulasnellaceae
Description: tRNA-Ile
Rfam family: tRNA (bases 6-95)
About the family: Transfer RNA (tRNA) molecules are approximately 80 nucleotides in length. Their secondary structure includes four short double-helical elements and three loops (D, anti-codon, and T loops).
Source: RNAcentral